GACGAACGCUGGCGGCGUGCUUAACACAUGCAAGUCGAACGGCAAGACCCUGCUUUUGUGGGGUGAUCGAGUGGCGAACGGGUGAGUAACACGUGAGUAACCUGCCCUUGACUUUGGGAUAACUUCAGGAAACUGGGGCUAAUACCGGAUAGGAGCUCCUGCUGCAUGGUGGGGGUUGGAUAGUUGCGGCGGGUGGGGAUGGACUCGCGGCUUAUCAGCUUGUUAGUGGGGGAGUGGCUUACCAAGCCAGUGACGGGUCGCCCGCCUGGGAGGGUGAACGGCCACAUGGGGCCUGAGGGAGGGCCCAGUGGGCAACGUGAGGCAAUGGGGGGAAGUAUGACCCAAUCAUCGGGCGUGUGUGGAGAAGGCGUCGGGGUUGUGAUGACGGCCUUCUGGGAAUAAACAGCUGUCGCCUGUUACCAAGCUGGAGUGACGGUAAUGAAUAAAUAAGCACCGGCUAACUACGUG
RNAcentral lists this ribosomal RNA (468 nucleotides) under uncultured bacterium. Its description in RNAcentral is "partial 16S ribosomal RNA". It matches the Rfam family "Bacterial small subunit ribosomal RNA", at positions 28 to 507 of the family's 1533-position model. The record is from RNAcentral.